UACGAGGGGGGCGAGCGUUGUCCGGAAUUACUGGGCGUAAAGAGCUCGUAGGUGGUUUGUCGCGUUGUUCGUGAAAACCGGGGGCUUAACCCUCGGCGUGCGGGCGAUACGGGCAGACUUGAGUACUGCAGGGGAGACUGGAAUUCCUGGUGUAGCGGUGGAAUGCGCAGAUAUCAGGAGGAACACCGGUGGCGAAGGCGGGUCUCUGGGCAGUAACUGACGCUGAGGAGCGAAAGCGUGGGGAGCGAACAGG
Molecule: ribosomal RNA, 253 nt
Filed under: uncultured bacterium
Lineage: Bacteria
Description: partial 16S ribosomal RNA
Rfam family: Bacterial small subunit ribosomal RNA
Source: RNAcentral